AUCAAAUUAAAAUGUGGUAGGCUCAAAUUUAUUAAAAUAACAUUUUCCCUACUCAAGAACUGAAGGGAGAUAAUUAAACACUAUAAGAAACAAAUGAUUUGGAAUUGAGAAUUCAUAUUAAAAGCUAAACAAAGUCAUAUUUGAGAAUGUCAAUUUUUUGGAUCAAUUUAUAGGUUGCAUCCUAUUUUUUUCUCAUUAUCUCAAACGUCUGACAUAUUUUGAAGAUCAACCAAAACCAAAAACACCUCACAGACAAUAUAAUUAUGCUAAUUGAAUUGCAACAUAUGACAUUAGUUCAACUUAGUACUGUUCUUACAAAAUCGGAUUAGCUCUUCAGUAACAACGUCCAUCUCUUCACCUUUUACAGAUUUCAAGUUCUUGCUGAUAUCUCUCGCUUUGGCCCUCAAAUUUUCCCCGGUUUUCCCUGUUAUGACAUCUUUAAGAGUUCCGGCAAUUUCUCCUCUAUGAAUUUUGCCAUCAUCAUCUCUAACAAUUUCCACCGCAACUCCCAAUUCUACUACCAACCUGGCAUUCAUUGGCUGAUCAAGAUGUAUAGGCAUCGCUAUUAUAGGAACCCCAAAAUCUAUACUUUCCAUUACUGAAUUCCAACCACAAUGACUUAUAAAUCCUCCGGUACUUGGAUGAUUUAGAAUUCUUGAUUGUGGUGCAAAUUUGUCCAAAACUCUUCCCCUGUCUCCAAUUCUUUCAAGAAAACCUUUUGGUAAAGUGUCUUCAAGAUUUUUCUCCUCCCCCUUUGGGAAUCUUGCGACCCAUAUGAAAUUAACAUUACUUAGCUCCAACCCGAAAGCUAUUUCCUCCAUGUCUUCUUUCGACAAGAAAUACUCACUCCCAAAGGAGAUAAAAACGGUUGAAUUCUCAUCUUUCGUUCCUAGCCAAUCAAUGAGCUCCACUUCAUCAACGUCACUAGUGAUCGGAUCUUGGACAGGUGGACCAACUGGAAAAACUUUCCAACUGUUCAAUUCAGAGAGAAUAUCUAUGUAUUUGGCCUCGAUAGUUCUAGUGGUAUUAAUCAGCAUGGUUUGUGCCUUUCCAUCAGCAAAAGGAUCCACAUCAUCAGGUUGUUUAUCUUUAGCGGAUUUUGCCAUCAUUUCGCUCAUUUUUACUUGUUCAAUUUUCCUGAGAUAAAUCGCUGGAAAAGGGAAUUCGACCCCUGAUUUUCUUAUUAAGUGGGAAAAAUAUGAAAUCACGGCAGCACCAAAAGUUAGGAACUUGACUGCUGGAAUGUUUUGUUCAUUCGCAACGUCUUCAGUCCAUUGCUGCAAUAUGUCAUAAAUGACCAAAUCAGGUUUCAGGUUCUGCAAGAUUUUUGUGAAGUUGGGUUUGGACAUUUUCAGGGCCUUAUGAAGGAUGUGAUUGAGAUGGAGCGGGAGGCCAUUUGUUGUAUGGUAGUGAGGAGGAAGUUCAGGCAAUUCAGGUAAGUGAAGCUCGACAAGAUGAAUCGACUCAGAGUAUUUUUCAGGGAUUUUGUUGAUGAUAGAUUUGAGAUUGACGGGCGUAGAACAAAGGUAAAUCAAGAAUCCUCUAUCCGCGAGUUUCUUGGCAACGUUUAGAAAUGGAGUAAUGUGUCCAUGAGCCAAAAAUGGGAACAUAAGUACCCUCAAAGUACUACCACACACUGUUACUUGUGUAGCCAUGAUCAAAAUAUUUCUUCCUAAAGACAAUAUAUUGGUUAUACUAUGUUCUUGUUUCUCUAGAGUGAAAGAAGAUGGACUCCAUUUAUUUGAAAUACAAGAGAAUGAGGACAAAAUAGAAGUUGUGUGACUUGUCGUUUCAAAUUUUAUGGUAGAAAAUAUCGCCAAGUUAUAGGAAAGUGACAUAUUGUGUGACUUUUCUAAGUAAUUAUAAUUUGGCAAAACUCCAGUGUUUACACUUGCACUAGUGACGGAAAGUUUGGAGUUUAUAGAAACAUAAUUACUUAGAAAACAAAAGGAGAAUAAGAAAGUUCUUUUUAAAAAAAAAUAAAAAAUCUUGGAUUGAUUGGGGGAGGAUCAGAGUACUAUGAAAGUGCUUAAUGUUUGGCAACUCUUGUUGGGUUCAAAAUCGAGAGGGCAUCGUGCGGAAGCUUAAAGUAACCAUGAGAUGAUAAAUCAGAUGACAAAGAAAAACAUAAUACUAAAAGACAUAUUAUGGAUAUGGUUUGGCCAAACGGCCUACAUAUUAAAAAUAAAAUUGAAAAACCUAAAAUCUAUUGGAAGAAAUCUCUCCCUAAACAGAGACACUUUAAAGACUACAUUGUGGAUGUUAUUGUGUUAUGGUAUGAGAAGGGAGUUUUCUAUUUAUUUAUAGAGUUCCAAAACCUUUCCACCAAGAAAGAGGUUUGCCAAAUAUGGAAUUUUUUUAGGAAAAGUAAAAGUAAUUAUGAUAUAUCUUUUAUUUUUCUUUCAAAAAAAAGUAAAACUUAAACUUGGUAAAACAAAUCUGCAAAAACCGUAACAACUCUUCCAGGCCUAAAGCCAUUUUCACGAUGUGGUUUCUAGUGUACACCAAGCUACUCACUAAAGACAGGUUCAACUCAAGUGGGGUGUAAAUGUUGGACCUCUAUGUGUCUACUUUCUAUAGGUAAGAGAAACAUGUGAACAUUUGUUUGUGCAAUGUCCAUUUGUUAGGCAAUUGUGGAAUAGGGUAUCAACUUGGAUGCAUAGAGAGAUGACAUUGGGGAGAGAUCGGGACCAUCAUUUCCGAUCCGGUGUAAAAGGGAAGACUUAGAAAGCUCAGAUAUUCAAAUUGGUAUUUGCUAAAACUCUAUACGCUAUAUGGAUGGAGAGGAAUCUUAGAAUCUUUGAAGAACAGGCUAUCGAUUACCGUAGAUUAACUAGGAAUAUUCCCUAUUCUUGUAAUAUUAGAGCACCAAAAGGUGCAAGGGAUGUAGUGCAGUCAUGGCUGUUAUAAAGUGAUGGUUCCUGGUUAUCAACUUUGUUGAGGAUUAUGGUUAGUAGCAUUUGGAUUGGGAUUUUGUAUAAGCAGUGAGACAAAGAUCACUGGACACAUACUGAAUUAGUGAUAAGACUUGUAUUUAGAUACUUUUCUGGGAGGCUCAAAUAUAUCAACACAACAUUUUGUGAUAUCAAAUUAAAAUGUGGUAGGCUCAAAUAUAUUAAAAUAACAUUUUCCCUACUCAAGAACUGAAGGGAGAUAAUGAAACACUAUAAGAAACAAAUGAUUUGGAAUUGAGAAUUCAUAUUAAAAGCUAAACAAAGUCAUAUUUGAGAAUGUCAAUUUUUUGGAUCAAUUUAUAGGUUGCAUCCUAUUUUUUUCUCAUUAUCUCAAACGUCUGAUAUAUUUUGUAGAUCAACCAAAACCAAAAAGACCUCACAGACAAUAUAAUUAUGUUAAUUGAAUUGCAACAUAUGACAUUAGUUCAACUUAGUACUGUUCUUAC
This 3400-nucleotide long non-coding RNA is filed under the name Capsicum annuum. RNAcentral describes it as "long non-coding RNA (CANN_LNC019793)". The record is from RNAcentral. Lineage: Eukaryota; Viridiplantae; Streptophyta; Magnoliopsida; Solanales; Solanaceae.